GACGAACGCUGGCGGCGUGCUUAACACAUGCAAGUCGAACGGAAAGGCCCUGCUUUUGUGGGGUGCUCGAGUGGCGAACGGGUGAGUAACACGUGCGUAACCUGCCCUUGACUUUGGGAUAACUUCAGUAAACUGGGGCUAAUACCGGAUAGGAGCUCCUGCUUCAUGGUGGGGGUUGGAAAGUUUCGGCGGUUGGUGAUGGACUCGCGGCUGAUCAGCUUGUUGGUGGGGUAGUGGCUUACCAAGGCUUUGAAGGGUGGCCGGCCUGAGAGGGUGACUGGCAACAUUGGGACUGAGAUACGGCCGAGACUACUACGGGAGGCAGCAGUGGGGAAUAUUGCACAAUGGGCGGAAGCCUGAUGCAGCAACGCCGCGUGCGGGAUGAUGGACUUCGGGUUGUAAACCGCUUUCGCCUGUGACGAAGCGUGAGUGACGGUAAUGGGUAAAGAAGCACCGGCUAACUACGUG
This 468-nucleotide ribosomal RNA is filed under the name uncultured bacterium. RNAcentral describes it as "partial 16S ribosomal RNA". It matches the Rfam family "Bacterial small subunit ribosomal RNA", at positions 28 to 507 of the family's 1533-position model. The record is from RNAcentral.